This 291-nucleotide unclassified non-coding RNA is filed under the name uncultured fungus. RNAcentral's name for it is "sequence contains ITS2". Lineage: Eukaryota; Fungi. The record is from RNAcentral.
AACGCAAAUUGCACUUCUUUCCGAGAAGUAUACUUGCUUGAGGGUUGGUCUACAAAAAAUCGUAAAUUCUUUUACGGAUCUGGGCUUUCCGAGUUUUCCGACUUCGGUUGCCUAAAAUUUAUCUUAACAAUGAGGUGUUAAUUAGAAAUGUUCUAUCUUGCACAUUGUAAGUUCAUUAAUAAUUAUGCCAACUGUUAUAUCGCGUUAUUCAUCUAGUAUCUUUGAUUAGGUGAAGUAACUCAAUUUUUUUAAUCCUACCUCAAGUCAAGUAAGGAUACCCGCUGAACUUAA